Long non-coding RNA from Carassius auratus (goldfish), 5408 nucleotides. The record is from Ensembl. NCBI's taxonomy places the organism in Eukaryota, Metazoa, Chordata, Actinopteri, Cypriniformes, Cyprinidae.
AUGAGCAGCGACUUUCUUUGUGCUCUUCUCAUCAUCACCUUCCUGGAAUCAGGCAAAUCAAAGAGUGGUGUAUCUAUCAGUCACAGUCGAGAUGGAUAUGGCCAGAACAUUACUUGUUUCCUCUCAGGGGAUGAAAAUAUGACACAAAUCAAUUGGGAGAUGCUAAGAGGCCCGAAUCGCACCAAAUUGGGCAUGUAUCACCCACAUUUUGGAAUUUACAUAAUGCAAAAGUAUAAACCUAAAGUGAAGAUCCAGAACAAACAGACUCCUCAUCCAUCAUCAUCCCUUCUCAUUAAAGUAGCAUCAAAUGAGAGUGUGCAAAUCUGUUGUGCGUUCAUUACAUUUCCUUCGGGUAAACUUGAGCAGUGCACUGAUAUCAGUAAGAAAGAUGUCAGUAUCAACAAGCCUAUGAUAAAAGAUUUUACAUAUGUCGAACCAGAACCAAUGCUGGGAAUAUUUGGACGUUUGGGUGCAAUGAUCAUGGGAACCAUUCUUUCCCUUUUUAUCCUGACCAUCCUAUUCUACUUAUGCAGAAAAAACAGCUGUAGAAGGAGGAAGUCCUUUGAAAUAGGAACAUACUUGGCAGACGUACCGGCUGAGACAUUUGCUGAAGAAUCAGUUGAUGUACCAACUUCUCAAAGUUCUCCAGAUGGCUUUGACCCCUCAAAACUUUAUGCCAAGAUCAAAAAAGACCUUUUCUAUGGCCGGCUGUGGAAAUCUUACCAAGGCCAACCCAAAUCAUGCACACAAGGUACCAUGACUGAUCAAGGACAUGUUUAACAAAUGUUAGGACAGAGUCCCUUAUAAAUGCUAAAUGUGGAGGGCAGCCCUUUGAGGCCAGUUACAACAGAAUGAGUGCAUUUCAAUAGUUUAUACCUUCCAGCACGCCUGAGAGGAAUCUUGUCAUUUUUGUGUAAUGUAAAAUAGCUUAAAGCAGAUUGCAAUACUUUAUGUAAAGAAAAGAGUGAAUUAUUAAUAUUAAAAGAAAUGCAUUCGUAUUUCAAUCGUUUUCAAGUUAAGAUAAAUGUUUGCAACACUGAAUAAACUUAUAAAUAAACUUUUUAUGUGAAAAUCUAACAGACAUGCUAGUCUCAAGUCUUUUGUCAUGAAUCUUUCAAGGCCAAAUCUCAAAUAAUUUUGAAUAACUUCUAUGUGUUGAAAUAGAAUAAGUUUAUUUUAUGAAUAUUGUCAAUUCAUCGUCCAGGUGGAUGCUGCACACUGGUGAUGGAUGAGGAUUCCCUCCUCCCCAGUGUAAAGCGCUGUAUAAAAGUUUUUUAUGAAUAAAUUAUUAUUAUUAGCUUUUAUUAUAAUUUCCAAGUAUUUCCUUGUUCAUUAAAUCGUGAUUAUCUAAAAGUAAAUGAGGUUUUGCUUAAAUAAAUUGAUGCAUUUUAUGCACGGUAGCUAUAUUCAAUCGUUUCAUUAUCAAAUUUGGCAAAGAGAAAGAGAGAAUGAAAUAACACUAAACAAUUUUUUUUUUCUUUCUGUGAAUCUGUUAUCUUACCGUUUAUGUUCAGCGAUAUUUAGCUAUUGCAUGAGACAAGAAAAUGAUAUUCACUUCCGUUAUCUAGCUAGCAUAAACUGUUUUUACAUGCUUUUUCUUCAUCGAGUAUACGUCACAGUUAGAUCACUUGCAGCUGCAUGCGCAAAGUGGCGGAAAAACACCGGGAGCAAGUGGAAGAAAACGGGUAAAAUCAAUGGACUAUUAAUAAAAAAAUGCAUUGUUAUGCCUUUUGAUGUCAGAAUCGGCAUGGAAAUACUGUCGCCAAAGAUGCCAUUUGAAGCUUAACGCAGACAUUUAAAAGGACAUAUGAAACUGCUAUUUUAAAGCAAAAUAUUUAAACAAUGAGUAUAUAUAAAAUUCAUAUAGGGGGCAUAUUGUAUUAGCCAAGUUGAAAUACCUGCAUGAAAUACCAUUUAAACUUAUAACAUUUUACAUAAUAUUUACCUAUUAUAUCUCACAAUUCUGACUUUUUUUAUUGCAAAUGCAAGUUUAUAUAUCCUAGUUCGGACUUUAUAAAUUUAUUCAAGUCGCGAUUGUCGAUUCUGUGGGGUAAAAGGCCAGAAGUGUGGGAUUAUAAACUGAAAGUCCUCACUGUUUGCAAACAAAACUGCAAUGUCGCCUUCCACCGCUUGGUGGAGCUACGAUACUGUUUUUGAGAAGGAAGCCUCCUUGUUAAUGGCUUCGUGUCGUAUUUCAUAGAAGGCAAGUGUGUUUAUUUUUUUAUUUUUUAAAUUUUUUUAUGUUCUCGAAACAUGAAUAGAUCCAUGUGCCCUCUAGUAUAUUUGAAUAAUUACUGACAUUAAAGUUGCCACUUUACUUGUUAGCUAGCCAAAAGAAAGAUGUUAAAUCUGUUUAAAGGCUGGACAUGUGGAACAGUAUUACAAGCCUGCACGAGUUUAAAGUCCACGUUCUCCCGAGAUGGAAACUUGUCACAUCCUGACCGUGUCAAAAUCACACAACUGUGGAUGCAGUUAAAGCUGCAGUAGGUAACUUUGUAAAAAUAUAUUUUUUUACAUAUUUGUUAAACCUGUCAUUAUGUCCUGACAGUAGAAUAUGAGACAGAUAAUCUGUGAAAAAAUCAAGCUCCUCUGGCUCCUCCCAGUGGUUCUAUUGCCAUUUGCAGAAAUCUAUCGCCCCUGUUAAGAAACAACCAAUCAUAGCUGCGGUCCGUAACUUUGUUUGUGUUCAAAAUGUAGAAAAAUGUAUAUAAUAAGCGAGUACACCAUGAAUCAAUUUUCCAAACCGUGUUUUUAGCUUGUCCUGAAUCACUAGGGUGCACCUAUAAUAAGUGUUUAUAUUCGGACUAUUUUAGAUUGCUUCGGGGGUACCGUGGCGGAGUAACCCAGUACCUUAGAGAUUCUUCAUAGACAUAAACAGAGAGAAGUAGCUCCGGCUACGAUGUUCUUAAGUUCCACAAGACGCAAGCAGUUCUGUUUAUUAACCACUAGAGCGUCAAAACCUACUGCAGCUUUAAGUUAAGUUACCUCACGCAGUAAGUCCUGCAGACUCAAACAGAACAAUCUUCUGGUUUUAGUUUUAAAAAAGUUAUUUAUUUUAGCUAUGCUUUGCUUAUAUAGAGCUUGGGAAACUACGUCACUGCGCAUUGCAUUCUGGGUAGUCGCGGCCAUUUUUGAGGACACGCUUAUCAGUAAAAGUGAAAGUGACAUGACAUGACAUACAGAUCAAGUGUAAGAUUACAUAUAAAGAAAAACUCAACAAGGAAGCAAAGAUGUGGUAUUUAGAAAAAAAUCAAGACAAUCAACGAACUCAAUCUGCACGAACACAAAGAGUGGUCGGAUGAUCUUAAAGAGCUGCCGCUCGUAACCUUCCCCAAUGUGUUUUCUAACCUUGUUUGUAGUGUCAGAGCGUACACCUCUGAUCAGUUUAAAAAUGAUAAAUCUUUUGAGUCUCACCUGCAAUUUACAAAUGGAUGGGUGCAGAACCUACACAUUUUCCGCGUCAACGAGCGAGUUACACAGCCCCUUUACUUUUUAAUAUGCGUUAUUGUAAACUGUACAAAUUAACCUAAGUGCGUUAUGAUGCACAAAUAAAGAGAUACAGAAUUGAUCAAUUUUGCUGUUUAUUACUGUAACAGGUGGUAUGCAAUAUGCAUAACACUGAUAAUGCAGGAGAUGUGGUUCAUGCAUAGGUAACAUUUAAUGUAAGUCUGUCAAAUCGAUUAAUCACAUCCAAAAAAAAGUUGUUUAUAUAACGUACAUUUCUGUAUAUUUAUAUAUAUAUAUAAAUGCACAUACAUACGUGUGUAUAUAUCAGACCAAAGAGACACUCCUUCUUUUCCUUCUUACUGCUGCUAACAAAGCUAUGUGACGCCGCUUUGUUAACUCGGAGACCUGAGAUCAAGGUGCGGUUUUCCAUGGGGAAAGCUGAAAAAUCGCACUCCAUUCAAAUUAUUUUUCCAUGCCGGUCAUGAGUACGAGUAUGGCAUUUAAUUACACAACAAGGUUUUACCAUUGUAACUUAUUUUUUAGCUGUAGAGAGUAAACAAAACAGUCUAUUAGCAAUACAAUACAAUACAUACAGCAGCGUCUGUGUCCUAAAGUCCCAGGAUGCAUUGCAUUGCUGACGUCAUGAUCCCAGACUCUAUUGUGUGUUUGAAAGAAUGACUGUAGUAGUUGCAUUUUAGCAGUCAAUUAUAAGUAGUUAAAGGGUUAGUUCACCCAAAUAUUAAAAUUAUGUAAUUGAUGAAUCACACUCAUUACAAACCCGUAACACUCAAUAACCAAUAUCCCAGAGUAAUUCAUUUACUCAAACAGUACACUGACUGAACUGCUGUGAAGAGAGAACUGCAGAUGAACACAUUGAGCAGAGCCAGAUAUAGAAUGAAAGAUUGACUUUGGGAUAUUGGUUUGUUUUAACUCAGAGUAAGUGUCAGCCACAUUAAAAAAGUGAACAGCUUAAGUCAUUUGUGGAUUAAUGCUAAAUGAAGAAGCGAAUCAUUUCAAACGAUUCAGUUCGAUUUGGUGAACUGGUUCAAGAAGAUCCAGUUACAUUGAGUGAUUCAUUUGUGAACUGGAUCUCACUUAACUGCAGUGAACGCGCUCACAACAGACCCGAAAGAGAAGACAAUGCUGAAUAAAGUCAUAGGUUUUUCUAUUUUUGGACCAAAAUGUAUUUUCAAUGCUUCAACAAAUUCUAACUGACCCUCUGAUGUCACAUGGACUACUUUGAUGAUGUUUUUCUUACCUUUCUGGACAUGGACAGUAUACCGUACAUAUAUUUUCAAUGGAGGGACUGAGAGCUCUUGAACUAAAUCUAAAAUAUCUUAAACUGUGUUCCGAACAUGAACGGUGGUCUCACGGGUUUGGAACGACAUGAGGGUGAGUUAUUAAUGACAUAAUUUUUAUAUUUGGGUGAACUAACCCUUUAAUGUGACCAGACCACAUGAUAAUAGCAAGACCACUUUGUAUCUUCUUAGUAUACUGACAUGCAGCCUGUAAUCACAUUAGUUUUUUUGAUAGAUAAUGUUAUCCACAGUAAUAUCAUUAAAUUGUCUCAUAAAUUGUUACUACAUAGGCCAAGUAGAUUGCAUCUGCUUUUGUUUGCAAUAUUUAAUCAUUUAAAUGAAUGAAACAUUUUAACAUUAUUAUGUAUUCUUAUAUUUUUUUUAUAUUUUAUUUUUUUUAUUUUUUUUUAAUUGACACACACACACACACACAACAGUGUUUUACAAUCCCCAGGUAACCUGUGCAGAAGUAACAAUGGAUUCACAAUGUGUGGGUGAAAUUGAUGGACUGACCUUCUUUCUGGCCAAACCAGAGGAUUACGAUGACGUGAUGGCCAUCUCACAAGACAUAUAUAGUGGAAAGAUUACCUUCCUCAUCGUUAUCACUCCUGGAUGACUGAGCCAGGAAGAGUGGUUAUUAUAGCACGGAGAGGAAGGAAGCUG